RNAcentral lists this unclassified non-coding RNA (337 nucleotides) under soil metagenome. RNAcentral describes it as "partial contains 5.8S ribosomal RNA, internal transcribed spacer 2, and large subunit ribosomal RNA". The stretch from base 1 to 120 matches the Rfam family "5.8S ribosomal RNA", at positions 35 to 154 of the family's 154-position model. The record is from RNAcentral.
GAUGAAGAACGUAGCGAAAUGCGAUAAGUAGUGUGAAUUGCAGAAUUCAGUGAAUCCUCGAAUCUUUGAACGCACAUUGCGCCCCUUGGUAUUCCAUGGGGCAUGCCUGUUCGAGCGUCAUUUGUACCUUCAAGCUCUGCUUGGUGUUGGGUGUUUGUCUCGCCUCUGCGUGUAGACUCGCCUCAAAACAAUUGGCAGCCGGCGUAUUGAUUUCGGAGCGCAGUACAUCUCGCGCUUUGCACUCAUAACGACGACGUCCAAAAGUACAUUUUUACACUCUUGACCUCGGAUCAGGUAGGGAUACCCGCUGAACUUAAGCAUAUCAAUAAGCGGAGGA